GUGGCAGCAGCCGCGGUAAUACUUAGGGUGCGAGCGUUAAUCGGAAUUACUGGGCGUAAAGCGUGCGCAGGCGGAUUGUUAAGCAAGACGUGAAAUCCCCGGGCUUAACCUGGGAAUGGCGUUUUGAACUGGCAGUCUAGAGUGCGUCAGAGGGGGGUGGAAUUCCACGUGUAGCAGUGAAAUGCGUAGAUAUGUGGAGGAACACCAAUGGCGAAGGCAGCCCCCUGGGAUGACACUGACGCUCAUGUACGAAAGCGUGGGUAGCAAACAGGAUUAGAUACCCUGGUAGUCCACGCCCUAAACGAUGUCAACUGGUUGUUGGGGGAGUGAAAUCCCUUAGUAACGAAGCUAACGCGUGAAGUUGACCGCCUGGGGAGUACGGUCGCAAGAUUAAAACUCAAAGGAAUUGACGGGGACCCGCACAAGCGGUGGAUGAUGUGGAUUAAUUCGAUGCAACGCGAAAAACCUUACCUACCCUUGACAUGUCCAGAAUCCUGCAGAGAUGCGGGAGUGCCCGAAAGGGAAUUGGAACACAGGUGCUGCAUGGCUGUCGUCAGCUCGUGUCGUGAGAUGUUGGGUUAAGUCCCGCAACGAGCGCAACCCUUAUCAUUAGUUGCUACGCAAGGGCACUCUAGUGAGACUGCCGGUGACAAACCGGAGGAAGGUGGGGAUGACGUCAAGUCCUCAUGGCCCUUAUGGGUAGGGCUUCACACGUCAUACAAUGGUCGGCACAGAGGGUUGCCAAGCCGCGAGGUGGAGCCAAUCCCAGAAAGCCGAUCGUAGUCCGGAUUGUUCUCUGCAACUCGAGAGCAUGAAGUCGGAAUCGCUAGUAAUCGCGGAUCAGCAUGUCGCGGUGAAUACGUUCCCGGGUCUUGUACACACCGCCCGUCACACCAUGGGAGUGGAAUCUGCCA
RNAcentral lists this ribosomal RNA (914 nucleotides) under uncultured bacterium. RNAcentral's name for it is "bacterial SSU rRNA". It matches the Rfam family "Bacterial small subunit ribosomal RNA", at positions 505 to 1422 of the family's 1533-position model. The record is from RNAcentral.